AGUUCUAGUCAAGACGCAGCAUGAACAUGGGGAUUUGUGCUCAGCUUCUGGGGCUCCUGGUGCUCUGGAUCCCAGGUACCAAAUGUGAUAUCCAGAUGACCCAGUCACCAGCUUUCCUGUCUGCAUCUCUAGGAGACACAGUAACCAUUAAUUGCUGGGCCAGUCAGGACAUAAGAAAGGAUUUAGCAUGGUAUCAGCAGAAACCAGGGGAAGCUCCUAAACUCCUGAUCUAUGAUGCAACCAAUUUGCAAUCUGGGAUCCCAUCAAGGUUCAGCGGCAGUGGAUCUGGGACAGAUUAUUCUCUCACCAUCAGAAUACUGGAAACUGAAGAUGUGGCAACUUAUUACUGUUUUCAAGAAGACACUAGACCUCCCACAGUGAUACAAGGCGUAACAAAAACCACCAAAGGAAGCAGAAGUGUGAGGAUGGGCUGCCCCAGCUGCCCCUUCUGCCCCAGCUGA
This is a non-coding RNA of Cavia porcellus (domestic guinea pig), 461 nucleotides long. Lineage: Eukaryota; Metazoa; Chordata; Mammalia; Rodentia; Caviidae. The record is from the annotation of a RefSeq genome assembly.